Long non-coding RNA from Ruditapes philippinarum (Manila clam), 577 nucleotides. RefSeq lists it as uncharacterized. The transcript is spliced from 3 exons. Lineage: Eukaryota; Metazoa; Mollusca; Bivalvia; Venerida; Veneridae. The record is from RefSeq and is a predicted model, not a curated record.
ACUUCCGGGUACAUCGGCAGACUUAUUUACCGUUACGCAUAUAGGUAACCCGAAGAACUCGAGGGAUAUAGAAGUUAUAUUUGUUUCGGUCCUCUUCAGAUUUGAAGGAAUGGAUAGCACGGGUCAAAAAAUGCAGGUAGGUCAAUUAUCUGACGGAAAAACGAGGGAUUUAUAGAGUUUAAUAAAACUAGUUUAUUUUCGGAUAGUGACAGUUGUUUCGGAUGUUUUGUCAAGAUGUAUAGACAAGGAGAUAUAUGACAAGUACAGAAUAUACAGUUGUUCAAUAUGGACCAUUAAUCAACUGUUUGCACUGCCUAUGAUCCUGAAAUAUCUAUACAUCAAAGAUAAAAAGGGAAAAGAUGAAGGAGGAUUUGUCCAUGAAGACCUUUAUUGCAACUACCAUCUUCCAGUUCCUUAAUUUGAGAAUGAUAUCAGAGAACACACAGUUACAGUGAAAUAUUAGUUUAAUAUAAGCCACUGAAAAUAGUCAAAUGUACUUUCCUGAAGAAGAUGAAUGACAUCCAGCACAAAAAUCUUAAUGUAUAAAGAGUAUGAUUUAUGGUGUUUGACACUAUGA